Molecule: non-coding RNA, 21 nt
Filed under: Arabidopsis thaliana (thale cress)
Lineage: Eukaryota; Viridiplantae; Streptophyta; Magnoliopsida; Brassicales; Brassicaceae
Source: RNAcentral
AUUAAAAGCUAGUGGCAGCCA